AACGAACGCUGGCGGCAUGCCUAACACAUGCAAGUCGAACGAGACCUUCGGGUCUAGUGGCGCACGGGUGCGUAACGCGUGGGAACCUGCCCUUAGGUUCGGAAUAACUCCCCGAAAGGGGUGCUAAUACCGGAUAAUGCCUUCGGACCAAAGAUUUAUCGCCUUUGGAUGGGCCCGCGUUGGAUUAGCUAGUUGGUAGGGUAAAAGCCUACCAAGGCGACGAUCCAUAGCUGGUCUGAGAGGAUGAUCAGCCACACUGGGACUGAGACACGGCCCAGACUCCUACGGGAGGCAGCAGUGGGGAAGAUUGGACAAUGGGCGAAAGCCUGAUCCAGCAAGGCCGCGUGAGUGAUGAAGGCCUUAGGGUUGUAAAGCUCUUUUACCCGGGAUGAUAAUGACAGUACCGGGAGAAUAAGCUCCGGCUAACUCCGUG
Molecule: ribosomal RNA, 433 nt
Filed under: uncultured bacterium
Lineage: Bacteria
Description: partial 16S ribosomal RNA
Rfam family: Bacterial small subunit ribosomal RNA
Source: RNAcentral